This 123-nucleotide small RNA is filed under the name Marmota monax (woodchuck). Lineage: Eukaryota; Metazoa; Chordata; Mammalia; Rodentia; Sciuridae. The record is from RNAcentral.
GCUGGGCACGGUGGUUCAUGCCUGUAAUCCCAGGGGCUCAGGAGGCUGAGGCAAGAGGAUCAAGAGUUCAAAGUCAGCCUCAGCAAAAUUGAGGCGCUAAGCAACAGUGAGACCCUGUCUCUA